This 305-nucleotide ribosomal RNA is filed under the name uncultured bacterium. Its description in RNAcentral is "bacterial SSU rRNA". It matches the Rfam family "Bacterial small subunit ribosomal RNA", at positions 335 to 657 of the family's 1533-position model. The record is from RNAcentral.
UAGCCUACGGGGGGCAGCAGUGGGGGAUAUUGCACAAUGGGCGCAAGCCUGAUGCAGCGACGCCGCGUGAGCGAAGAAGUAUUUCGGUAUGUAAAGCUCUAUCAGCAGGGAAGAAAAUGACGGUACCUGACUAAGAAGCUCCGGCUAACUACGUGCCAGCAGCCGCGGUAAUACGUAGGGGGCAAGCGUUAUCCGGAUUUACUGGGUGUAAAGGGAGCGUAGACGGUGCAGCAAGUCUGAUGUGAAAGGUCGGGGCCCAACCCCGGGACUGCAUUGGAAACUGUUGAACUGGAGUACAGGAGAGG